CCUACGGGGGGCUGCAGUGGGGAAUAUUGGACAAUGGGGGGAACCCUGAUCCAGCCAUGCCGCGUGUGUGAAGAAGGCCCUCGGGUUGUAAAGCACUUUCAGUGAGGAAGAACGCCUGGUGGUUAAUACCCAUCAGGAAAGACAUCACUCACAGAAGAAGCACCGGCUAACUCCGUGCCAGCAGCCGCGGUAAUACGGAGGGUGCGAGCGUUAAUCGGAAUUACUGGGCGUAAAGCGCGCGUAGGUGGCUUGAUAAGCCGGUUGUGAAAGCCCCGGGCUCAACCUGGGAACGGCAUCCGGAACUGUCAAGCUAGAGUGCAGGAGAGGAAGGUAGAAUUCCCGGUGUAGCGGUGAAAUGCGUAGAGAUCGGGAGGAAUACCAGUGGCGAAGGCGGCCUUCUGGACUGACACUGACACUGAGGUGUGAAAGCGUGGGUAGCAAACAGGAUUAGAUACCCCUGUAGUC
This 465-nucleotide ribosomal RNA is filed under the name Vreelandella stevensii. RNAcentral describes it as "partial 16S ribosomal RNA". It matches the Rfam family "Bacterial small subunit ribosomal RNA", at positions 338 to 795 of the family's 1533-position model. The record is from RNAcentral. Lineage: Bacteria; Pseudomonadati; Pseudomonadota; Gammaproteobacteria; Oceanospirillales; Halomonadaceae.